This is a long non-coding RNA of Bactrocera dorsalis (oriental fruit fly), 1600 nucleotides long. RefSeq lists it as uncharacterized. The transcript is spliced from 4 exons. The record is from RefSeq and is a predicted model, not a curated record. NCBI's taxonomy places the organism in Eukaryota, Metazoa, Arthropoda, Insecta, Diptera, Tephritidae.
CUAAACUACAAGCUCUUUAUAGCACAAAAUCUAGUCUAAGACAUAACAGACAAAAACAAGCAAUUGGAAAUUAUAACAAAUACACAUAACCGAGCGCAUAGAAAUGAGAAAAAUAACGCGAUGGAAAUUAGACAACAAUAGUUUUGGCCCGAUAUGGCGAAACAAAUCAAAAACGUUGCACGAAACUGUUCAAAUUGUUAUAAACAAAAAUACGAACGUAGACCAACAAAACAACUGAUAGGGAGAACAUCAACAACAAAUCUACCAGGAGAAUCUAUAAGUAUGGAUAUAUUCCACAUAGGGAAUAGAACAUAUAUAACUAGUAUGUGUAGGUACUCAAAAUAUUUAUUAAUGAGAGAAAUAGCAGAUAAAGUCAACACCGUAGACAAACUAGAAGAAAUUUUCACUCUUACAUACCCAUAUUGCAGAAACCUACAAACCGACAAUGAGAGUAUAUUCACAUCAGGGUAUUCAGACUAGCCUUGUUAAUUCGUUAGUCGUUAAUUCGGUAGUUUUUACAUGUAUUUUGUUUUUGUAAAAUUAACAGACUAUCGUUUUACCGAGUAACGAACUAUCCAGCUGGCAAGCUUGAUAAUUGUUUCGUUACUCGGUAAUAUCACAUCAGCUGUUUGUUUGUUGUUCGUUGCUUUAUUCAUUUUCAACGGAAAAAUAAGUCUGGCGUUCGUUGCUUAUUUUUAAAGGGGAAAAUAAAUUUGGUGCACACUCGUGAGUUUGGAAAAAUUUUGCAAAAUGGAACCUCAAAAGAAAAUACGCAAGAUGGCAAAGCCUCAAAAAAUGGAGUGAGGAGGAAAACUAUUUGAUUCUAGAAUAUUUACUAGAAAAUGUGGAAAUUGAGAAACCAAACGCCCAAUUUUACUACAAAAAAUUAGUUGAAACAACAAAUAUAUGCGACUACGGACAUGUUGCCCUGCAAGGUCCGGUACUGGAAGCAGAUGUAUAAUAAAGCUGAGGAGUGGCGCAAAUCGACUGGUGCUGGAAUAGACGUUGGCGAUGAUGUUUCCUCAAUAAAAGCAAAACUUUUACAAAUGUGUCCGAAUUAUGAACGGUUUUCGGUUCUAUUUGGGAGUAAAUCCGAAGCCAAUUGUGUUGUAGAGACGUACAACCCUAAAGUGUCACAAUACUGCAGCGAUUUUUCAGACCUUGUAGAGGUAGUGGAAAUUCCAGCCGAAUUAUCACAAUCAUCUGCGGAACCAUCGGGUUCACUUAACGACAAAGCAGAACAGACAACAGUAGGAGCAGAGGUAGCAACAGAUCCUCCUACCACUCCGUCGUUCCUCGAAAAAGUGAAAAAACGUGCUCCAAAAAAUAUUCUUAGUGAACUUAAAAAUAUACAAAAGAAAAGAGAACAGUUUUUUGAGCAACGAAUAGAAAUUGAAAAAGAAAAGUUAAAUUUGGAAAAGUUAAAGCUAAAAUUGAUAAAGAAAAGUUAAAUAAAGAUUUUGAAAUAAAAAAAUUGGAGUUAGAGCAAAAAGUAAGACUGGCGAUGAUUGAACUAAAAUUCAAAUAUAAUAUGUAACAAUUUUAUAUGUAUGUUUUGUAUAAUAAUUUUUAAGAAUGUACAAAUAUAUCUAAAUGUGAU